UUAUUCUUUUCCCGUAUGUUUCCCGGAUUGAUAUGUUUUUUUUUCUGUUGUUUGGUUUUGUUUCAUUGAACAGAUAGAUAGAUCAUAUAGUAUAUCAGAUUCCUCAAAACCAUCAACUUGUGUUCGGAUUUGAUUUCAUGAUAUUCUUGCAACAACAACAACAACAACAAUUUUAAUUGAGAUUAUAGUUUGUGUAUUCUUGUUCUCUCUCUGUGUGUGUGUGUUUAUUUGUGUGAUCUUUCAAUUCUGAUGAUAAUGAUAUUGGAAAUGCAUAUCUGAAAUAAUUUUAGAAGAAAAAAUGUUUUCAACUAGUCAUUCGAAAAAAAACAUGCCCGAUAAUUUUUUUCUUUCUCCUUGGAUUCAAAAUCCAAAAUAUAUUCUAUUUGAUUCUUUUAACGCGUGCGCACCAAAAAAAAAAAAUUUUUGUUUGUCCAUAAAAUUCAAAUAUUUUUUGAAAUUUUUUCCGUUUGUUUGAAAUCUAAUUAAUUAAUACAAAAAUGUAAAAAAAAUGUCCGUGUCAUAAUUGUCAAAGAAAAUAUUACAAAAUUUAAAUUAAACACCUACAUACCAUUCAUCAUAUAUUAAAAAUAACAUCUUAAGAUUCUAUAUAAUGGCAAUAAUAAUUUUUCAUCAAUCAUCACUAUCAUCAUCAUUAUCGUCAAAAUCAAACACAAUUAUGAUGAUCAUGAAUCAAAAACGAAAACCCUUAAUGGAACGUUCUAACGCGGUUACAAUUACAUUACUUUGUUGAUAUAAUAAGAUGAACAACAAAAUUUACAAUUGACAUAAUGUCACAUUUGUCACACACACACACACACACACACACCACAGACAAAAACAUUGCUCGAAUUUUUCACACUAAAUACAUUGUGCACACAUCAAUCAUUUUACAUACAAACACACGCACCAAUGAAUGUUUGAACAAUUUGAUUUUUUUUUUUGCUCUUCAGUCAAUGACAAUUAUCAUCAGUAUAAGAAAAACAUCAUCGAUUGUCAUCUCAUGGAUCUCAUUACCAUUACCAGUCAUUCAAUCCAACAAUCAAUCAAUCAAUUAACAAACAAAAAUGGAAAUUUGGAAAAAAAACGUCAAUUCGAUCCUUCAAUCUCAUCAUGGUUUCAUUCAUCAUCCAAUGGAUGAGAGACAAAAAUUUGCUAAAAAAUUCUAGUUAUUUAGAUUCACACAUCAACUAAAAAUAUUUUUUGUUUUCUCGACUUUGAAUUAAUUUUGGCCAAUCAUUGAUAACAAGAAAUUAUUUUCAUUAU
Non-coding RNA from Dermatophagoides farinae (American house dust mite), 1263 nucleotides. The record is from RefSeq and is a predicted model, not a curated record. Lineage: Eukaryota; Metazoa; Arthropoda; Arachnida; Sarcoptiformes; Pyroglyphidae.